UACGUAGGGGGCAAGCGUUGUCCGGAUUUAUUGGGCGUAAAGAGCGUGUAGGCGGCCUGACAAGUCUGCUGUGAAAACUCGAGGCUCAACCUCGAGAUGUCGGCGGAAACUGUCUGGCUAGAGUCCGGAAGAGGAGAGUGGAAUUCCUGGUGUAGCGGUGAAAUGCGCAGAUAUCAGGGAGAACACCUAUGGCGAAGGCAGCUCUCUGGGACGGUACUGACGCUGAGACGCGAAAGCGUGGGGAGCGAACAGG
Molecule: ribosomal RNA, 253 nt
Filed under: uncultured bacterium
Lineage: Bacteria
Description: partial 16S ribosomal RNA
Rfam family: Bacterial small subunit ribosomal RNA
Source: RNAcentral